Oncorhynchus gorbuscha (pink salmon) is the source of this 1804-nucleotide long non-coding RNA. RefSeq lists it as uncharacterized. The transcript has 2 exons. Lineage: Eukaryota; Metazoa; Chordata; Actinopteri; Salmoniformes; Salmonidae. The record is from RefSeq and is a predicted model, not a curated record.
GCAAACUGGAGAAAUAAGUUUUAAAAUGUUGCAAAAACAAAAGUAAAAGUAGGGGAAGUGGUUUGUUGUGAAGGGUAGCGCGUUUUAAUAUGCUGGGAAUAGACGGAGAAGCUGGUGGUAAGGAAUUGUCAAGUCAUAUCAGUAGAAAACCGUUAGCUAGCUGAGUACUUAGCAAGCUAGCUAACAAUAGCUAGCCAGCAAAGUUAGCUAAUCUUCAAGGGAUGACUACAGGCACUGAUAUACCAAGCUAACUACUAGCGUUUGCCUAUUGUUUUUACAAACAGUUGAAAGAAGACUCGGGUUUGUGCCAAACGAGGGCUGUUUGGGGCUGUAAACAUCCCCGACUGGAAUCUGUUCUACAUCAUCAGAGCUUUCAGUCAGGUGUUUGCUGCUGCUGGCUGCCUCCAGCUCCUACUGGGAAACAGACCAGUGCCAUGUGGUGCUUGACCUGCUAAUGAUACUGUUAGUACGACAGACUGCAUCCUUACCAAUGCCUUAGUUCAGUGCCCUUCAACCCUGGUCCUGGUCCUGGGAAUCCACGAGCUGUGAAGGCUUGUGUGCCACUCCAGCUUGACUAACACACCAGAUGUUGGAAAGGUAAUGGUCAAGACUACAGUGCUGAGCCCAGUGGGCUGAAUCAGAAGCUAGCAGUGCACACCCUGUGGGUCUCCAGGAUCUAAAUUGAAUAACACUUCUCUACUGAUCUCAAUGGAAUGCUGAAAUUAACUUAUGAUGACAACUGUUAAUAUGUGCAUCUCAGUUGUAAUUCUUAGUUGGCUCAUACAGCUUAUUCAUAACAACACUCUAGAGGACACCAUACAGACAGACCAUACAGUGCUAAGACUACAGUUAAUGUAAACAUCCUACACUCAGCUGUGAGUUGGCAGCAGAGGCUGGGAGAAGGCUGUUUACUUUAACUGGCUUGGAUAGACACCCAACCAAACAGGAAGACAGACAGUCCGCAGGUCCAUACUAUGGAUGGAGGGUCAUUAUCUACCAGGGUGAUUCCUCACGAAACAAGGAAAGAAAAAUGCCAUGAUUUUCAUUCAGUUUAAUCCAUGUAAUGGUCCUUUGGAGGAAUGAUUGUUGACAUAUAUUUAACAUUUGUAUCUUUAAAGCAUAAUUGAGAAAUAAUUAAUUGGUUUGGGCUCCAUAAUGUUUCACCUGUAGAUGCUUCAAAAAAUUGGUACCAUUUGUUCUGUAAUAUGAGUAUUAUUUUUUUAUAUUUUCUUAAUGAAUAUUGAAUAAGCUGAUUUUCCUAUAUAUUGUUGAACAUAAUAUACUCUACAGCAGGGCUCUCUAACCCGGUUCCUUGAGAGCGACCAUCCUAAAGGUUUUCGCUCCAACCCUAAUCUAGCACACCUGAUUCUAAUAAUUACCUGGUUGAUCAACUGAAUCAUGUUAGUUACAACUGGUGUUGGUAAGUGUGAACCUACAGGAGGAUAGCUCUCCAGGAACAGGGUUGGAGAGCCCUGAGCCACAGGCAUAUCAAAGUUCCAUACUAGGAUCUUUGCUACCAUUUUAGAGUUAUGAUCCAAUUUCAAAGCAUUAUCAACAUAAUUACUGUGAAAAUGGUUUCAGGAUGUGCAAUGAUACAAGAAAAACAGGGCUAUGAUUGGUUACAAUGCCAAUUUCUCUGUAUAGAAUGGGCAAUAACUUUAAAACUAGCAGAGAUCCCACCCUGAAAUGUUAAAAUGCCUGUAGUGUAUAUUAUGUUCAAUGUAUGAAGUUUGUAUUUCUUGGUAUGUGACUUGUCCCAUUGUUUCUGUAUUUGUUAAUAAUAAAAAUUAACAAAAAUACCUGA